CAGUAGCCGCGGUAAUACGUAGGUGGCAAGCGUUGUCCGGAACUAUUGGGCGUAAAGAGCUCGUAGGUGGUUUCUUAAGUGCGAGGUGAAAGGUUCAGGGCUCAACCCGAACACUGCCUUGCAUACUGGGAGACUUGAGUACGGGAGAGGCGAAUGGAAUUUCUGGUGUAGCGGCGAAAUGCGUAGAUAUCAGAAGGAACACCCAUGGCGAAGGCAGUUCGCUGGCCUGUAACUGACGCUGUAGUGCGAAAGCGUGGGGAGCAAACAGGAUUAGAUACCCCAGUAGUCCCUGUCUCUUAUA
Molecule: ribosomal RNA, 301 nt
Filed under: uncultured bacterium
Lineage: Bacteria
Description: partial 16S ribosomal RNA
Rfam family: Bacterial small subunit ribosomal RNA
Source: RNAcentral